AGACCCGAAACCCGGUGAUCUAGCCAUGGGCAGGUUGAAGGUUGGGUAACACUAACUGGAGGACCGAACCGACUAAUGUUGAAAAAUUAGCGGAUGACCUGUGGCUGGGGGUGAAAGGCCAAUCAAACCGGGAGAUAGCUGGUUCUCCCCGAAAGCUAUUUAGGUAGCGCCUCGUGAAUUCAUCUCCGGGGGUAGAGCACUGUUUCGGCUAGGGGGCCAUCCCGGCUUACCAACCCGAUGCAAACUGCGAAUACCGGAGAAUGUUAUCACGGGAGACACACGGCGGGUGCUAACGUCCGUCGUGAAGAGGGAAACAACCCAGACCGCCAGCUAAGGUCCCAAAGUCAUGGUUAAGUGGGAAACGAUGUGGGAAGGCCCAGACAGCCAGGAUGUUGGCUUAGAAGCAGCCAUCAUUUAAAGAAAGCGUAAUAGCUCACUGGUCGAGUCGGCCUGCGCGGAAGAUGUAACGGGGCUAAACCAUGCACCGAAGCUGCGGCAGCGACACUCAGGUGUUGUUGGGUAGGGGAGC
This 529-nucleotide ribosomal RNA is filed under the name Salmonella enterica subsp. enterica serovar Infantis. RNAcentral describes it as "partial 23S ribosomal RNA". It matches the Rfam family "Bacterial large subunit ribosomal RNA", at positions 711 to 1237 of the family's 2925-position model. The record is from RNAcentral. RNAcentral also lists the same sequence under 1 other name. Lineage: Bacteria; Pseudomonadati; Pseudomonadota; Gammaproteobacteria; Enterobacterales; Enterobacteriaceae.